RNAcentral lists this long non-coding RNA (1110 nucleotides) under Cricetulus griseus (Chinese hamster). RNAcentral's name for it is "lncRNA (ENSCGRG00015029907.1)". Lineage: Eukaryota; Metazoa; Chordata; Mammalia; Rodentia; Cricetidae. The record is from RNAcentral.
AUUGGUUGAUAAAUAAAGCACUGUUGGCCAAUAGGGAAGCAAGAUAGGUGGGGCUAGGAGUUGAGGAGGAUUCUGGGAAAUGUAGUAAAGAGGUGAGUUGAGUCGCCAUAUGAUCCCAGGAAGAUAGGACGCUAAGGCCGGCAACCACGAUCAAGGAGCACUCCUUGGGAACUGAAGCUUUGGGUUCUUCCUGAGCUUAUGUCUGGAGUUGGAGUGUGUGGCAUGUCUGUCAUUGUCAUCCCACAGCAAGAAGGGCUGCACCUGCUGUCCACAUUCAAUCUGCCUUGUCCCUCAUUUGGGACAAGUGCUUCCUGCAGACCACACCUCUCCCCACCUCACAGCCCCAUAUCCCUUUGAGUUCAUAUCCAGAGGACAAGACAUCAAACAUCAAGAAAUGUAGAGCUGGAGUCAGAACUGUGCCUGGUACCCAUGUGGUGGAAACAGCAAACCCGAGGUGACCCAAUGCAAAUGCACAGGCCACAUCAGCCAAGGCUGCAGCUCCCCCUGUGAACUCCCUUCUACCACCUUUCCAAGAAUACUGCUGCUGCAUUCCUUCAAGGCACUUUGAGAAGCCAAGCCCUGUGGGAGGCUGUGUGUGAACACUGCUGCUUGUUGCUACUGUCCUGGCGACUGUGGCUGAGAAUGUAGCUUCUGAAUAAUUGAUGCUGCUGAGAAGCUGGGAAGCUUCAGACCUCAGAAGGUCUUAAGAAGUCUCAAGUCCCAGGUCACAGUCUCCUUUAAGGAGCACCAGGUGCACUGCAAGCUCCCACUCCCCGCUGGUGGUAUUAUCAGUCUCUUUCCAUCACACGAACAACUGCUGGUUGUUUUUCUGGAGAGCAGCUCUGUAUCCCCAAAUGAAUAUUAGUGGCACUCGGUUCUCAGGUUCACAGGGACCCAGCAGCACCUGCCGGUAGCCGGGCCCAUUUUCACAAUGCAACCUCCAUGACUGGCAUCCUCUCUGGUUCCCCAGUUUACCUGAAAGCUGGGGGCAUGGACAAACAAAUGUUUCUAAGUUGGUUUAGCAUGAAGUGGAAAUAAAGCAUUGGAAACCCUCUUUUCUUGAUUUCCACUGUAAUUUGUUUCUUCAAGAGCCCCUACCAUGAGCUACCC